CACGAAGCGGUGGAGUAUGUGGUUAAUUCGAUGCAACGCGAAGAACCUUACCUGGUCUUGACAUCCCGGAGACCCUUAGGAAACUAGGGGGUGCUUCCAUCUGGAAGAAUCUGGAGACAGGUGCUGCAUGGCUGUCGUCAGCUCGUGUCGUGAGAUGUGGGUUUAAGUCCCGCAACGAGCGCAACCCUUGCCUUUAGUUGCCAGCAGUUCGGCUGGGCACUCUAAAGGGACUGCCGGUGUUAAACCGGAGGAAGGUGGGGAUGACGUCAAGUCCUCAUGGCCUUUAUGACCAGGGCUACACACGUACUACAAUGGCCGAUACAAAGGGCAGCGACACUGCGAGGUGAAGCCAAUCCCGUAAAAUCGGUCUCAGUCCGGAUUGGAGUCUGCAACUCGACUCCAUGAAGUUGGAAUCGCUAGUAAUCGUGGAUCAGCAUGCCACGGUGAAUACGUUCCCGGGCCUU
This 464-nucleotide ribosomal RNA is filed under the name uncultured Desulfobulbus sp. RNAcentral describes it as "bacterial SSU rRNA". It matches the Rfam family "Bacterial small subunit ribosomal RNA", at positions 924 to 1382 of the family's 1533-position model. The record is from RNAcentral. Lineage: Bacteria; Pseudomonadati; Thermodesulfobacteriota; Desulfobulbia; Desulfobulbales; Desulfobulbaceae.